RNAcentral lists this ribosomal RNA (468 nucleotides) under uncultured bacterium. Its description in RNAcentral is "bacterial SSU rRNA". It matches the Rfam family "Bacterial small subunit ribosomal RNA", at positions 28 to 497 of the family's 1533-position model. The record is from RNAcentral.
GAUGAACGCUAGCGGCAGGCUUAACACAUGCAAGUCGAGGGGUAUGCCGAUUUAUCGGCAGAGACCGGCGCACGGGUGCGUAACGCGUAUGCAAUCUACCUUUCACAGAGGGAUAGCCCAGAGAAAUUUGGAUUAAUACCUCAUAGUAUAGCAGUUUCGCAUGAAACCACUAUUAAAGUUCCAACGGUGAAAGAUGAGCAUGCGUCCCAUUAGCUAGAUGGUAAGGUAACGGCUUACCAUGGCUACGAUGGGUAGGGGUCCUGAGAGGGAGAUCCCCCACACUGGUACUGAGACACGGACCAGACUCCUACGGGAGGCAGCAGUGAGGAAUAUUGGUCAAUGGACGCAAGUCUGAACCAGCCAUGCCGCGUGCAGGAUGACGGUCCUAUGGAUUGUAAACUGCUUUUGUACGAGAAGAAACAACAUUACGUGUAAUGUCUUGACGGUAUCGUAAGAAUAAGGAUCGGC